UUCGAGUGGCGGACGGGUGAGUAACGCGUGGGUAACCUGCCUUACACAGGGGGAUAACACCUGGAAACAGGUGCUAAUACCGCAUAAGCGCACAGGGCCGCAUGGCCCGGUGUGAAAAACUCCGGUGGUGUAAGAUGGACCCGCGUCUGAUUAGCUUGUUGGCGGGGUAGGGGCCCACCAAGGCGACGAUCAGUAGCCGGCCUGAGAGGGUGGACGGCCACGUUGGGACUGAGACACGGCCCAAACUCCUACGGGAGGCAGCAG
This 264-nucleotide ribosomal RNA is filed under the name uncultured bacterium. RNAcentral's name for it is "partial 16S ribosomal RNA". It matches the Rfam family "Bacterial small subunit ribosomal RNA", at positions 90 to 354 of the family's 1533-position model. The record is from RNAcentral.